Molecule: ribosomal RNA, 253 nt
Filed under: uncultured bacterium
Lineage: Bacteria
Description: partial 16S ribosomal RNA
Rfam family: Bacterial small subunit ribosomal RNA
Source: RNAcentral
UACGGAGGAUGCAAGCGUUAUCCGGAUUUAUUGGGUUUAAAGGGUGCGUAGGCGGGACAAUAAGUCAGUGGUGAAAUCCUGCGGCUUAACCGUAGAAUUGCCAUUGAUACUGUUGUUCUUGAGUACAGUUGAGGUGGGCGGAAUGUGUAAUGUAGCGGUGAAAUGCUUAGAUAUUACACAGAACACCGAUUGCGAAGGCAGCUCACUAAGCUGUUACUGACGCUGAGGCACGAAAGCGUGUGGAGCAAACAGG